This 76-nucleotide transfer RNA is filed under the name Petroclostridium sp. X23. Its description in RNAcentral is "tRNA-Thr". It matches the Rfam family "tRNA". From Rfam's summary of the family: Transfer RNA (tRNA) molecules are approximately 80 nucleotides in length. The record is from RNAcentral. Lineage: Bacteria; Bacillati; Bacillota; Clostridia; Eubacteriales; Oscillospiraceae.
GCCAACAUAGCUCAGCCGGUAGAGCAGCUGAUUCGUAAUCAGCAGGUCGUGGGUUCAAGUUCCGUUGUUGGCUCCA